AGUCCUGAAAAUGGAAAAGCGUCUGGAGUUUUGGGUACUCCCAAUGCCCCAAUUAUCCUUUUAUUACCCUGAUUUACAACAUAACUUCAUAGGAGACGUUCUGAUGAGCAAAAUGACUUGGGUAACAAAAUGAUCUGGCAAAACCAGCAACUAAGGCAAGGACACAAGAAGAUGGCUGUCUACAAGCCAGGAAAAGAUUCUGCACCAGGAACUGGAUCAACUGGCACCUUGAUCUUGGACUUCCCAGCCUCCAGAACUAUGAGAUGAGAAAUAAGUGUCUAUUGUUUAAGCCUCCCAGUCUAUGGUAUUUUGUUAUAGCAACCCAAGAUGACAAAGACAACAAGCCUAAAAUGAAAAAUGGCAAAGUAACCAAGAUGUCCUUCAAGAGGGCUGUUUGUUGUCCAAAAAGCCUUUUUCCCUAAGCUUGAAAGCUUAACUUCUCAGAAGCAGGAAGCUGCCUUUUGCCAAGAGUAAAUGGGUGAGAAGUCCAAAGGUCU
Long non-coding RNA from Homo sapiens (human), 497 nucleotides. Ensembl annotates it as long intergenic non-protein coding RNA 2463. The record is from Ensembl. NCBI's taxonomy places the organism in Eukaryota, Metazoa, Chordata, Mammalia, Primates, Hominidae.